This 769-nucleotide ribosomal RNA is filed under the name uncultured bacterium. RNAcentral describes it as "bacterial SSU rRNA". It matches the Rfam family "Bacterial small subunit ribosomal RNA", at positions 62 to 833 of the family's 1533-position model. The record is from RNAcentral.
UCGAGCGAAGCGAUUUAAAUGAGACUUCGGUGGAUUUUAAAUUGACCGAGCGGCGGACGGGUGAGUAACGCGUGGAUAACCUGCCUCACACAGGGGGAUAACAGUUAGAAAUGACUGCUAAUACCGCAUAAGCGCACGGUACCGCAUGGUACAGUGUGAAAAACUCCGGUGGUGUGAGAUGGAUCCGCGUCUGAUUAGGUAGUUGGUGAGGUAACGGCCCACCAAGCCGACGAUCAGUAGCCGACCUGAGAGGGUGACCGGCCACAUUGGGACUGAGACACGGCCCAAACUCCUACGGGAGGCAGCAGUGGGGAAUAUUGCACAAUGGGCGAAAGCCUGAUGCAGCAACGCCGCGUGAGUGAAGAAGUAUCUCGGUAUGUAAAGCUCUAUCAGCAGGGAAGAAAAUGACGGUACCUGACUAAGAAGCCCCGGCUAACUACGUGCCAGCAGCCGCGGUAAUACGUAGGGGGCAAGCGUUAUCCGGAUUUGCUGGGUGUAAAGGGAGCGCAGACGGCACUGCAAGUCUGAAGUGAAAGCCCGGGGCUCAACCCCGGGACUGCUUUGGAAACUGUAGAGCUAGAGUGCUGGAGAGGCAAGCGGAAUUCCUAGUGUAGCGGUGAAAUGCGUAGAUAUUAGGAAGAACACCAGUGGCGAAGGCGGCUUGCUGGACAGUAACUGACGUUCAGGCUCGAAAGCGUGGGGAGCAAACAGGAUUAGAUACCCUGGUAGUCCACGCCGUANACGAUGAAUACUAGGUGNUGGUGGGCAA